Long non-coding RNA from Drosophila mojavensis, 888 nucleotides. RefSeq lists it as uncharacterized. The transcript is spliced from 2 exons. NCBI's taxonomy places the organism in Eukaryota, Metazoa, Arthropoda, Insecta, Diptera, Drosophilidae. The record is from RefSeq and is a predicted model, not a curated record.
CGGCAUUUGUUUUCUGUUACGCUUCGUCGGCUCGGCAGUCGCGCCCAGCUUCGUGCUCUACUCUAAACACUGUGCCAGUCGGUCCUGCACGAAGAGUGCUGCCAGCCUGCUGCUUCUUCUUAUUUCAGUUUCUGUGUGCUGAGCGCGUCGACGCUGACGCCGCCGACGACGCCAACGUAGGCGCUGCUGCUGUUACUACUGCUGCUGCUGCUGCUGCCCGAGUCACAAGUCCGAGUCCGUGUCCGUGUCGAGUUGAGUGCAGACGUUUUGUCCUCGUGAACGCUGUGUGCAAAAAAGAAAAAAAAAAGAAAAGAAAAGAAAAACAGAAAAAAUAAAGCAAAAAAGAAAAGAAAAUAGUUCAAAGCGAGCCAUAGAUACAUUUUCCACUUCUUCUCUGGUAUGGCCAAGAGCAAACACAGUUUAAAUAAAAGCCAACAGAAAUAUGCCAAAUUCCGCACAAUUGUUGAACUAUUAGAAACUUAACGAAAGAAAUUAAACAAUAAGGAAAGACACACAACUUAAUUGGAAAUCGUAGUAAAAAUGUCAAAGGCUAAAGCUAAAGGCAAAUUAAAUAAACGAACAAUUCCCAAAUCCAAGCAUCUAAAAUGAGACAAUUCAACUGCAACAACAGCAACAACAACAAUAACAACAACAGCGGCAGCAGACGCAGCUUAAAGGUCGAGGACAAUAAAGGUGCAGUGCGAAUAUAGCAAUAAGCAGGACACUUAACCAAAAUAAACAACAAACAAAACAAAAAAAGAAGGCUAUGGAAUGGAGCAUCUAUUUGGAUGACGAAUUGAAAGAGCGACAAAGCGACAGAAAUAGAAAAAUGAACAGCAUACUGAGCUAGAGUCGAGUCAACGCAGCAGCCGCAAAGCGAAUGAGAGA